Molecule: transfer RNA, 87 nt
Filed under: Rhodospirillales bacterium
Lineage: Bacteria; Pseudomonadati; Pseudomonadota; Alphaproteobacteria; Rhodospirillales
Description: tRNA-Thr
Source: RNAcentral
GCAGGCGUCGGACAGGCCUCCGAUGGGACUGCCGGGGUCUGAUUCGUAAUCAGUAGGUCGUCAGUUCAAUCCUGACCGUCGGCACCA